Molecule: ribosomal RNA, 496 nt
Filed under: uncultured bacterium
Lineage: Bacteria
Description: partial 16S ribosomal RNA
Rfam family: Bacterial small subunit ribosomal RNA
Source: RNAcentral
AUGAACGCUUGCGGCGUGCCUAAUCCCUGCCAGUCGCGCGAACAGACGAGGAGCUUGCUCCUCUGAUGUUAGCGGCGGACGGGUGAGUAACACGUGGAUAACCUACCUAUAAGACUGGGAUAACUUCGGGAAACCGGAGCUAAUACCGGAUAACAUGUUGAACCGCAUGGUUCAACAGUGAAAGACGGUCUUGCUGUCACUUAUAGAUGGAUCCGCGCCGCAUUAGCUAGUUGGUAAGGUAACGGCUUACCAAGGCAACGAUGCGUAGCCGACCUGAGAGGGUGAUCGGCCACACUGGAACUGAGACACGGUCCAGACUCCUACGGGAGGCAGCAGUAGGGAAUCUUCCGCAAUGGGCGAAAGCCUGACGGAGCAACGCCGCGUGAGUGAAGAAGGUCUUCGGAUCGUAAAACUCUGUUAUUAGGGAAGAACAAAUGUGUAAGUAACUAUGCACGUCUUGACGGUACCUAAUCAGAAAGCCACGGCUAACUACGUG